Apis mellifera (honey bee) is the source of this 1002-nucleotide long non-coding RNA. RefSeq lists it as uncharacterized. NCBI's taxonomy places the organism in Eukaryota, Metazoa, Arthropoda, Insecta, Hymenoptera, Apidae. The record is from RefSeq and is a predicted model, not a curated record. The transcript is spliced from 3 exons.
UCUGUUAAUACAAUUCAAUUUUCUAAAUUCUCGAAAUUGCAAUCUCUCUCAAAAAUGUUAAAGUUCUGCCAAUUCUCGUGUGUCGUGUAUAUAUACGUCACAAGUUGAAAAGGACAGGGACGCGUCCAAGAUCGCCGGCAAACCGGAGAAAGUUUAAAUUAACUCGCAAUAUCUGGCGGCUGUUAGCUACGCCAACUCUGAUCCAAAGCACGGCCGCAGACAUAAUAGUUGCAUUAUCGCUGCCAACGGGUAUUUCCUAGCUGGCAUUUCGAGAAGAGAUGAUCGGACAGUUUAAACGUUCGGGCCAACACUUAAUCGAUCGGGCCGCGGUGGUUAUCAGCACCGAAAUAGAGGCGCGACUAGUGGGAAGAGCAAAUGUGAACUUUGUUCGACAGUUGCAAAUUUGGGUGCAAUGGACGAAAAAGGACGAAAAAUCAGGCGCAGAGAUGGACAGAUAGAGGGAAAGAGAAUGUUAUUCACUCGCGAUUUUUCAUACGAAAAUGAUUUCCAUAGGAACGAGAGAUUAUUUCUCUCAAGCAUGUGGAAACCAUUUGGACGCCGCUUCUCUCGUCACGGAUAACUGGUAAAAGGAUGGAAAUUAACUUCAAAAGAUUGCCUAAACGUUUUCCUUCCAAUAUAUAACGCAAUCGACUUCAAUCUUUGAGUUAUUUGCGAAAGACAUUAAUAAAAUUACAGCAUUGAAUUCUUUCUACUAUUACUCUAAGUUAAAAAGAAAAAAUAUGAGAUGGAGAAAAAACGUAUGUAUAAUCCGUGAAUCCUAUAUUUGCAUUCUAUAUAUUCUGUAUCCUAUAUAUCCUGUAUCGUGCGUAUUCUAUAUAUCCUAACUCUUGGAAAUAAGUAAAUUGUCAAAAAACGAUUAAUUGCGCAAUAUAUGACAAAUAAGUAAGUAAUGUAGUAAGUUAAAAUAUAGAAAAAUUUUAUAUAUUAUUAUAUCUACAAUUACAUUUUGUAAUUACAAAAACGAAAAUUUAAACAAAUAUU